RNAcentral lists this microRNA precursor (208 nucleotides) under Oryza rufipogon (brownbeard rice). Its description in RNAcentral is "MIR812 microRNA precursor family". It matches the Rfam family "MIR812 microRNA precursor family". Lineage: Eukaryota; Viridiplantae; Streptophyta; Magnoliopsida; Poales; Poaceae. The record is from Rfam by way of RNAcentral.
ACCAAGUGUAGCCGUAGAUAUCCGUGUCCAACAUUUGACCAUUCGUCUUAUUUAAAACAUUUAUGAAAAAUUUGAAAAUAUUUAGUCACGCAUAAAGUACUAUUCAUGUUUUAUCAUUUAAUAGCAAUAAAAAUAUUAAUCAUAAAAAAUUUUCAAAUAAGAUGAACGGUCAAAUGUUAAACGUGAAUAGUGUAAAACUGCACUUAUU